Molecule: ribosomal RNA, 479 nt
Filed under: uncultured bacterium
Lineage: Bacteria
Description: bacterial SSU rRNA
Rfam family: Bacterial small subunit ribosomal RNA
Source: RNAcentral
AUUGAACGCUGGCGGCAGGCCUAACACAUGCAAGUCGAGCGAGAAAGGUCUUCGGACUGAGUACAGCGGCGGACGGGUGAGUAAAGCGUAGGAAUCUACCUGGUAGUGGGGGAUAACUUGGGGAAACUCAAACUAAUACCGCAUACGCCCUACGGGGAAAGCGGGGACCGUUCGGGCCUCGCGCUAUCAGAUGAGCCUGCGUAGGAUUAGCUAGUUGGUGAGGUAAAGGCUCACCAAGGCGACGAUCCUUAGCUGGUCUGAGAGGAUGAUCAGCCACACUGGGACUGAGACACGGCCCAGACUCCUACGGGAGGCAGCAGUGGGGAAUAUUGCGCAAUGGGCGAAAGCCUGACGCAGCCAUGCCGCGUGUGUGAAGAAGGCCUUAGGGUUGUAAAGCACUUUCAAUUGGGAAGAAAAGUUGGUCGUUAAUAGCGGCCAGCCUGACGUUACCUUUAGAAGAAGGACCGGCUAACUCCGUG